ACUCCUACGGGAGGCAGCAGUGGGGAAUAUUGCACAAUGGGCGCAAGCCUGAUGCAGCAACGCCGCGUGAGGGACGACGGCCUUCGGGUUGUAAACCUCUUUUAGUAGGGAAGAAGCGAAAGUGACGGUACCUGCAGAAAAAGCACCGGCUAACUACGUGCCAGCAGCCGCGGUAAUACGUAGGGUGCAAGCGUUGUCCGGAAUUAUUGGGCGUAAAGAGCUCGUAGGCGGUUUGUCGCGUCUGCUGUGAAAACUGGAGGCUCAACCUCCAGCCUGCAGUGGGUACGGGCAGACUAGAGUGCGGUAGGGGAGAUUGGAAUUCCUGGUGUAGCGGUGGAAUGCGCAGAUAUCAGGAGGAACACCGAUGGCGAAGGCAGAUCUCUGGGCCGUAACUGACGCUGAGGAGCGAAAGCAUGGGGAGCGAACAGGAUGAGAUACCCUGGUAGUCCAUGCCGUAAACGUUGGGAACUAGAUGUAGGGGCCAUUCCACGGUUUCUGUGUCGCAGCUAACGCAUUAAGUUCCCCGCCUGGGGAGUACGGCCGCAAGGCUAAAACUCAAAGGAAUUGACGGGGGCCCGCACAAGCGGCGGAGCAUGCGGAUUAAUUCGAUGCAACGCGAAGAACCUUACCAAGGCUUGACAUAUAGAGGUAACGUGCAGAAAUGUACGCCCCGCAAGGUCUCUAUACAGGUGGUGCAUGGUUGUCGUCAGCUCGUGUCGUGAGAUGUUGGGUUAAGUCCCGCAACGAGCGCAACCCUCGUUCUAUGUUGCCAGCACGUUAUGGUGGGAACUCAUAGGAGACUGCCGGGGUCAACUCGGA
RNAcentral lists this ribosomal RNA (819 nucleotides) under uncultured Actinomycetes bacterium. RNAcentral's name for it is "bacterial SSU rRNA". It matches the Rfam family "Bacterial small subunit ribosomal RNA", at positions 335 to 1167 of the family's 1533-position model. The record is from RNAcentral. Lineage: Bacteria; Bacillati; Actinomycetota; Actinomycetes.